This 483-nucleotide long non-coding RNA is filed under the name Dasypus novemcinctus (nine-banded armadillo). Its description in RNAcentral is "lncRNA (ENSDNOG00000051650.1)". Lineage: Eukaryota; Metazoa; Chordata; Mammalia; Cingulata; Dasypodidae. The record is from RNAcentral.
CCCGCCCCGCAGCGCGGCGGAAGAUGGCGAGCCCCGCGCCCCCGGAGCCCGCCGAGGGAGGAUGCCCGGCCCGCGCGGCCGGCGAGCUGGAGCCGCGGCCCCCGCCGCCCGGGGCGGCCCCCGAGCAUGAGCUCGGCGGCGGUCGGCGAGCGGCGCGGGGCGGCGGCGGAGGAGCUGCGGGCCGGGCGGGCGCGCGUGACCUGCUGCUCGGCGAGCCGUGCUGUGCUCGGCUGACGCGCCGACGAGCUCCUGAGCUGGCAGAGGCCGCUGCGCAGCCUGCUCGGCUUCGUCGGCGCCAACCUCCUGUUCUGGUUCCUUGCAUUGACUCCAUGGAGAGUAUAUCACCUGAUUUCGGUCAUUAUGCUUGGGCGUGUUAUUAUGCAAAUAAUAAAGGAUAUGAUUUUGUCUAGAGCAAGAGGUAAGGAAACUCAGGUUUUCUUUUUCUGGUAAAUAUUUAAUAUUCUAAAUCUUGAAUGUCUGAUC